GCCAAGAGUUGUAUCUAAAACAUCAUAACCACUGAGUUAUAAAGGUAAAAAUCCUUUAAAAACAAUCAUAGAAGAAGAUAUAAGUAAAAAAUGACACUAUAUACCAUACUGUCAUCAACUAACACAUUGUGUAAACACCUAACAGUUUAAAUUCUGCAUUGAUUACAACGCUUUCAUUAUUAGCUAUUUAUGAGCACAAAAAAUUCAAACUCUAUAGAAUAUCAUCAAAUUCAAAUUUAUGGCAAGAUCCUUGAGAUCUUACCUUAAUGAUUUGAG
Molecule: unclassified non-coding RNA, 276 nt
Filed under: Hevea brasiliensis (rubber tree)
Lineage: Eukaryota; Viridiplantae; Streptophyta; Magnoliopsida; Malpighiales; Euphorbiaceae
Source: RNAcentral